Molecule: ribosomal RNA, 277 nt
Filed under: Triticum aestivum (bread wheat)
Lineage: Eukaryota; Viridiplantae; Streptophyta; Magnoliopsida; Poales; Poaceae
Description: partial small subunit ribosomal RNA
Source: RNAcentral
CCAAAAACUCAGAGUUAAGCACCACCCCACCUCACACACUAGCCAUGGCCGUACAUCGUUGUGUUUUGAUUCCAUCCAGCUCUCAGCCACCCCGUUCCUCGUGGCCGGCCAGCAACCUCCUCAGCUCUUCUUUUCCCAUCUGGUGUGAUGCUGGGACAAUGGGUGCCCACAAAUGUUGUGACCGUAGUCAACGUUUGCUGGAACUAGCCUGUAGAUUUGCUACCAUCGGCGGUCAUCAAUUUUUUCGCUCGACCCCAACAUCGGCGUUUAGCUACGA